Molecule: long non-coding RNA, 835 nt
Organism: Daphnia carinata
Lineage: Eukaryota; Metazoa; Arthropoda; Branchiopoda; Diplostraca; Daphniidae
Exons: 2
Source: RefSeq, a predicted model, not a curated record
AGCCCAUCUAACCGGUUUCUAGACACAACAAUCACGAGUACACAACUUCAUCAACAAUUGGUUUACGUUCGCCUUCUCUCAAAUUGAUUGCCGAAGGGUGUAGGUCAAUAAACGAUAAAAAAAAAUCAAAGGUAAAACCCAGCCCGCGCUGUUGGACGAAUUUGCUCGAUUGGCUGCUUUCCAUUUAGCCAUAAAAGAAGAGAAAGUAAAAGAAAAGGUAUAGGCCAAAUAAAACCUUGUGACCAGCUUGCAAUACAUCCAGUUCAUAUUGCAACAUCAAAUAACACAGUCACAGAAUUCGAAUACGUAAAUCGUGAAUAAAAUGAAGCCAGUAGUCACAACAUUUCUAUUGUUUUUUACUGUCUCGGCAAUCCUUACGACAGAUGCCCAACUCAUUCGCAAUGGCGUCUUGAACGCCGGAUUCCGCCAAACAGCUGCCGCAGUCUCGCAAUGUGGCCCGGUUCAUGGCUCGUGUCCCAGUGAAUUGUGUUGCUCCGCUUACAACGAGUGUGGAAAUACGAUCGCGCAUUGCAACGUCUCACUUGGUUGCAAAAAUAAGUGGGGCAAUUGCAGUUAAUUGAGUCGUUUCAACCCAAAUCGACAGAUAUUAAUUCAAAAAAAAAAAAAAAAAAAAAUGAAAAACCCAUUCCCAUUACGGUCAAAACACUCAUUUGAUAUGCAACCUGGCGACUAAGAACGGUCGAUUAAAAAUCCCCCAAUUUAUUUAUUUUAUGUACAAGCAUGUAUGCCAAGUUGGCUACGAUUGCACAUCUAUUCAUCAUGAGCUUUUCAUUCAUGCUUACUCAUAAAUAAAUUGAAAGAGGUCACAAAGUCA